Molecule: ribosomal RNA, 857 nt
Filed under: uncultured bacterium
Lineage: Bacteria
Description: bacterial SSU rRNA
Rfam family: Bacterial small subunit ribosomal RNA
Source: RNAcentral
CGUGGGAACGUACCCUUUUCUACGGAAUAGCCUUUGGAAACGAAGAGUAAUACCGUAUACGCCCUUUGGGGGAAAGCUUUAUCGGAGAAGGAUCGGCCCGCGUUAGAUCAGAUAGUUGGUGGGGUAACGGCCUACCAAGUCUACGAUCUAUAGCUGGUUUUAGAGGAUGAUCAGCAACACUGGGACUGAGACACGGCCCAGACUCCUACGGGAGGCAGCAGUGGGGAAUCCUAGACAAUGGGCGCAAGCCUGAUCUAGCCAUGCCGUACGUGAGUGAUGAAGGCCUUAGGGUCGUAAAGCUCUUUCGCCUGUGAUGAUAAUGACAGUAGCAGGUAAAGAAACCCCGGCUAACUCCGUGCCAGCAGCCGCGGUAAUACGGAGGGGGUUAGCGUUGUUCGGAAUUACUGGGCGUAAAGCGCACGUAGGCGGAUUGGAAAGUUGGGGGUGAAAUCCCGGGGCUCAACCCCGGAACUGCCUCCAAAACUAUCAGUCUAGAGUUCGAGAGAGGUGAGUGGAAUUCCAAGUGUAGAGGUGAAAUUCGUAGAUAUUUUGGAGGAACACCAGUGGCGAAGGCGGCUCACUGGCUCGAUACUGACGCUGAGGUGCGAAAGUGUGGGGAGCAAACAGGAUUAGAUACCCUGGUAGUCCACACCGUAAACGAUGAAUGCCAGUCGUCGGGCAGUAUACUGUUCGGUGACACACCUAACGGAUUAAGCAUUCCGCCUGGGGAGUACGGUCGCAAGAUUAAACUCAAAGGAAUUGACGGGGGCCCGCACAAGCGGUGGAGCAUGUGGUUUAAAUUCGAAGCAACGCGCAGAACCUUACCAACCCUUGACAUACUCGUCGUCGCUCCAGAG